AUGCUCAUUUUGGCAGCAUGUACACCAAAAUUGGAACAAUACAGAGAAGAUUAACAUGGCCCUUGCGCAAGGAUGACAUGCAAAUUCAUGCAGUAUUAAACUCUCAG
Dromiciops gliroides (monito del monte) is the source of this 107-nucleotide small nuclear RNA. The record is from RefSeq and is a predicted model, not a curated record. Lineage: Eukaryota; Metazoa; Chordata; Mammalia; Microbiotheria; Microbiotheriidae.